GAGACAGAAUGUCAGUUUUGAAAUAUAGGAGUUCGAGAUUAGAAACCUAAUACUUUUGUUAUGAAUUAUGCUAAAACGGUAAAAAAAUUUUCAAAAUAUAGUUGUCUCAAAUACACUCUUCUCAGAUAACAGAAGGCCAGGCAAGGGCACUGACUUGAAGGGAAACAAACCACAGUAAUAUGACUGCCUGAAAGUAACUAUGGAAUUCAGUUUCUCAAAGUGAUUACUUCUUCUAAUCUUCAUAUUGAUGACUCACUAGUACAUUUACUUUGAUGGGUUUAAUCAACUCUGAUAACAUAGUUCCAAACACUUAAAAGGACCUGAUUUAUGUAUUAAAUAAAGGUUAAUUUGUUCUUGAGAAAUUGACAAAAGAUUUGGUCAAACGUAAAUGAAUAUGCAAUAAGUCACAUAAGUCUGUGUGUAUAUACAUAUAUGACUUUAAUUUUAUAAGUGCAUGUGUAUACGCACACCUUUAGCUCAUUUAAAUAAAAAGCUAUCCAAUGUUUUAUGUCCAUUAUGUCCCCCGUUAACAUUGAGCAAAAUGUUAACCCCUACUAUAUAUGCAAGGGAAAUAAAUUAAGUUGUUAUAUAGAAACCCUUGACACUAUAUGCAAUUUCUUAUGUCCCAUAUUCUGAUAAUAUCUGUCCUCUUGGCUCUUACUUCUUGGAAUUUCUCAUAAACACGGAAGCUUCAUGACAAAUUGUGUAAAUCAUCAUUUCCUCCUUUAUGAAGUAUAUUGAAGACAAAAGGGAUUAAAGUCAUUUCACAUUUAGCAAAGCUAUUUUAUGGCAACAUUGUUACAACACAAAAUAGACAUUGCAGUUUACAAUUAACAAUUACACAGUGAUUUCAUAACAAUACUACUUACUCCAAUUAACAAAAUAUUUCUUUAUAAAAAAUAUGUUCAAAAGGAGGUUUACAUUCACUUCUUCGUUUAAUAUCAAGGUUGUUAACAAUGGUCUUAGGAGAUGCAAAGACGAAAAACUACUUACCUUAAAAAUCUGUAUUCUUGAAGAUAUAUACUCCACUUGAAUAAGAUACUGCUCAAGGUUUAGGCUUCCUGGAGAACUCAGAGGAUUUUGUAGUUGUACUUAAUAUACUCAAUAGCCAAAUUUCCUAAACUUUCAUAAUUUUGCUAACCAAGGGCCCUUAACAAAGUUAAAAGACACCACAGGGUUCAAAAGUGAACAAAUAUGUUGUUUUUGUUUUAAGACGGAGUCUCAUUCUUGUCACCUAGGCUGGAGUGCAGUGGCGCAAUCUCUGCUCACUGCAACCUCCAUCUCCCGGGUUUAAGUGAUUCUCACACCUCAGCCUUCCGAGUAGCUGGGAUUACAGGCGCGCGCCACCAAGCCCAGCUAAUUUUUACAUUUUUAGUAGAAAUGGGGUUUCACCAUGUUGGCCACGCUGGUCUCAAACUCCUGACCUCAAGAGAUCCGCCCGCCUCGGCCUCCCAAAGUGCUGGGAUUACAGGCAUGCGCCACUGUGCCUGGUCACAAAUAUGUUAAUGAGCCAAUUAAGAUGGUGCUGCUCAAAUGAUUCUAAUUCAGGAAACUUAGGUUGCAGCUAGGUAAUCUCUAGUUCUCUAAAGAAUAAUACCCAAAUGACAGGAUUUAUGUGUUGAUGCAAUAAUAGCUCAGUCUGUUUCAUGACCUAGCUAGAGUCAGAAUUGGAGCGGUGGCUAUAGCACAGGGGUGGCUUUCUCCUCUCUGAAGGAAAAGUAAAGAAGUAAGAAGAAAGAGGUUGAAAGAACAGCCUACACAGUUGUUGCCCAGAUCUCAAAAUUAGCAACAAGUAUGUCAGCUGUCCUAAUUAUUACCAAACAGGUCCUGGGAGUGUCUGACACACAACAUAAUAUAGGUGCAAUCAGUUCCAGAAUCUGGUUAUUGUAUUUUUUAACUCCUCAGGUUAUGUAAUAAUACGCAUCCAGUGUUGAGGAACACUGACAAAAAGGUUAGAGUUCAGUGAGACACUGAGGCCUCUUCAGUACAUAAAAAUAGGGUUGGAAGUUAGCAUCUUGACACUCUUUGGGGGAUUCUAUAUCUCUUCACUUGCCAUUAAGUGAAACGUUCAGAAAUUUAAGAGUCAACAAUGCCACCAUUACUGCUGUCAAAGUCCUUCAGUGAUUAAAAAGAUACCAGAAAGAUACCCUGAUCCCUUGAUCAUCUGGUGGUGUUAAACUACUUCAGUAAGAACAAAAGAUGUGCUUUCCAAGGGUGGAGACAUCCAACUUGUAUUCAGUUCCCCAUUACAUUCUGGAUUUGGGUCAAUGAAAGAAGCAUCCAUUGGGGUGAUAGCUAAGGCGUGUCCUCGCCACAUAUCAAUGAGAUUUCUGGAGGGGAGUAGUGUGGGAAAGUGGUUAUAACAUUGCGCAAGCAGAUGUCAGAGAAUUUCUGAAAGACAGGGCUAUCUCUAGAAACUCACUGUAAGUAAGGAGACAAUUAACACUUUUGAAGCCCAUUUAUCCCUGAUGGUCAAUUACACACUAAGAACUUCCUUUUUUUUUUUUUUUUGAGACUGAGUCUCGCUCUUUCACCAGGCCGGAGUGCAGUGGCACUAUCUCAGCUCACUGCAAGCUCCGCCUCCUGGGUUCAGGCCAUUCUCCUGCCUCAGCCUCCCGAGUAGCUGGGACUACAGGCACCCGCCACCGCGCCCAGCUAAUUUGUUGUAUUUUUAGUAGAGAUGGGGUUUCACCGUGUUAGCCAAGAUGGUCUCGAUCUCCUGAUCUCGUGAUCCACCCACCUCGGCCUCCCAAAGUGCUGGGAUUACAGGCAUGAGCCACCGCGCCCGGCCAAGAACUUCCUUUUAAGAUUUGCCCUGAAGGGCCCUAGAGCAUUUCCUCUUCCAUGCAGAGAAUCAGAAAGCUUGGAUUCUAGCUCUAGCUCCCAACAAUUAGCUGUAUGUAAUUGAUGAUGGGUGACUUCAUUAGUGUCAAAGCCAAAGCAUAUUCUCUGUCAGCUUUUCAAAAAAACACGCAGUAAAGAGAGAUUCCUACCAGGAAAACUUUGAUGGGUGUUUUUCAAGUGUCAUCUCACAGCAGAAGAUGCCCCAAGUGGUCAAACCUUGCCAACAGCUUCAAAAAAAGGUAACUAGGAUUUAACUUUACGGUGCAUUUUGAUGUUUCCCUUUGUGUCAUAUCUGAUGAUAAAAGAACCUUAAAAAAAAAAAAAAAAAACACUAUCCAGCUUCUCCAUUCUGUCUCCUGCUUUACUUUCUCUUGUUUACAAAAUACAAAUUUAUAGCUGGAUUUGAUGCUGAAAAUUUAAUACAGUUACCUCAUGUCACAGAUAAAGAACAGAAAUGACUUGACCAAGUUCAC
This 3317-nucleotide long non-coding RNA is filed under the name Homo sapiens (human). RNAcentral describes it as "HSALNT0062721". Lineage: Eukaryota; Metazoa; Chordata; Mammalia; Primates; Hominidae. The record is from RNAcentral.